GAUGAACGCUAGCGGGAGGCCUAAUACAUGCAAGUCGAGCGGUAGAGUGACUUCGGUUGCUUGAGAGCGGUGCACGGGUGAGUAACGCGUACAUGACCUACCUUUAAGACUGGGAUAGCCCUGGGAAACUGGGAUUAAUACCGGAUGUGAUAAUAGAUAUAAGGAUUUAUUAUUAAAGUUACGGCGCUUAGAGAUGGAUGUGCGUCUGAUUAGCUAGUUGGUAGGUAACGGCCUACCAAGGCUACGAUCAGUAGGGGGCGUGAGAGCGUGACCCCCCACACGGGUACUGAGACACGGACCCGACUCCUACGGGAGGCAGCAGUAAGGAAUAUUGGUCAAUGGACGAAAGUCUGAACCA
This 358-nucleotide ribosomal RNA is filed under the name uncultured bacterium. RNAcentral's name for it is "bacterial SSU rRNA". It matches the Rfam family "Bacterial small subunit ribosomal RNA", at positions 28 to 390 of the family's 1533-position model. The record is from RNAcentral.